Molecule: ribosomal RNA, 265 nt
Filed under: uncultured bacterium
Lineage: Bacteria
Description: partial 16S ribosomal RNA
Rfam family: Bacterial small subunit ribosomal RNA
Source: RNAcentral
UACUUAGUGGCGGACGGGUGGGUAACGCGUGGGUAACCUGCCUUACACUGGGGGAUAACACUUAGAAAUAGGUGCUAAUACCGCAUAAGCGCACGAAGCCGCAUGGAUUUGUGUGAAAAACUCCGGUGGUGUAAGAUGGACCCGCGUCUGAUUAGCUUGUUGGCGGGGUAACGGCCUACCAAGGCGACGAUCAGUAGCCGGCCUGAGAGGGUGGACGGCCACAUUGGGACUGAGACACGGCCCAAACUCCUACGGGAGGCAGCAG